This 91-nucleotide transfer RNA is filed under the name Deltaproteobacteria bacterium ADurb.Bin072. Its description in RNAcentral is "tRNA-Ser". It matches the Rfam family "tRNA". From Rfam's summary of the family: Transfer RNA (tRNA) molecules are approximately 80 nucleotides in length. Lineage: Bacteria; Deltaproteobacteria. The record is from RNAcentral. RNAcentral also lists the same sequence under 3 other names.
GGAGAGGUACCGAAGUGGUCAUAACGGGGCCGACUCGAAAUCGGCUGUCCCUUUUCAGGGACCGGGGGUUCGAAUCCCUCCCUCUCCGCCA